AUACGUAGGUGACAAGCGUUAUCCGGAUUUACUGGGCGUAAAGGGCGUGUAGGCGGUCUUGCAAGUCAGAAGUGAAAUUCCUGAGCUCAACUCGGGCGCUGCUUCUGAAACUGCAGAACUUGAGUGCUGGAGGGAAUAGCGGAAUUCCUAGCGGAGCGGUAAAAUGCGGAGAUAUUAGGAAGAACACCGGUGGCGAAGGCGGCUAUCUGGACAGUAACUGACGCUGAGGCGCGAAAGCGUGGGGAGCAAACAGGAUUAGAUACCCUGGUAGUCCACGCUGUAAACGAGGGGUACUAGGUUGAGGAGGUAUCGUCCCCUUCUGUGCCGGAGUUAACGCAAUAAGUACCCCGCCUGGGGACUACGGUCGCAAGACUAAAACUCAAAUGAAUUGGCGGGG
RNAcentral lists this ribosomal RNA (397 nucleotides) under uncultured bacterium. Its description in RNAcentral is "partial 16S ribosomal RNA". It matches the Rfam family "Bacterial small subunit ribosomal RNA", at positions 523 to 918 of the family's 1533-position model. The record is from RNAcentral.